UACGAAGGGGGCUAGCGUUGCUCGGAAUUACUGGGCGUAAAGGGAGCGUAGGCGGGUCGUCAAGUUGGGGGUGAAAGCCCAGGGCUCAACCCUGGAACUGCCUUCAAAACUGGCGACCUAGAGUAUGGUAGAGGUGUGUGGAACUCCGAGUGUAGAGGUGAAAUUCGUAAGAUAUUCGGAAGAACACCAGUGGCGAAGGCGACACACUGGGCCAUUACUGACGCUGAGGCUCGAAAGCGUGGGGAGCAAAC
Molecule: ribosomal RNA, 251 nt
Filed under: uncultured bacterium
Lineage: Bacteria
Description: partial 16S ribosomal RNA
Rfam family: Bacterial small subunit ribosomal RNA
Source: RNAcentral